CUUUUUAUUCUUCUCUCAGAAUAAAAUCCAAGGAAAUUGCACCUUGGUUCCUCGUCUCACCAGUUCAUGAUCUUUCAGACAAUUUCAGUAUCAUAAACGAUCGAUGCGAUGUAGAAGCAAUGCAGAUCAUAAUUAUAUGUUUAUUGAGUCCACUCCUGGUGCAAUGUUCCAGCAAGACAUUGUCCUAAAGCUUGAAUGGAUCCUUAUCCUUUAAGCCUUUGUAAACUAUAGCGAAAAAGAACAAGAAACAACGAAAAUGGCCUG
Molecule: long non-coding RNA, 264 nt
Filed under: Elaeis guineensis (African oil palm)
Lineage: Eukaryota; Viridiplantae; Streptophyta; Magnoliopsida; Arecales; Arecaceae
Description: long non-coding RNA (EGUI_LNC013382)
Source: RNAcentral